UAGGGAAUCUUCGGCAAUGGGCGAAAGCCUGACCGAGCAACGCCGCGUGAGCGAUGAAGGCCUUCGGUCGUAAAGCUCUGUUGUUAAGGAAGAACAAGUACGAGAGUAACUGCUCGUACCUUGACGGUACUUAACGAGAAAGCCACGGCUAACUACGUGCCAGCAGCCGCGGUAAUACGUAGGUGGCGAGCGUUAUCCGGAAUUAUUGGGCGUAAAGCGCGCGCAGGGCGGGUUUCUUAAGUCUGAUGUGAAAGCCCACGGCUCAACCGUGGAGGGUCAUUGGAAACUGGGAAACUUGAGUGCAGAAGAGGAAAGCGGAAUUCCACGUGUAGCGGUGAAAUGCGUAGAGAUGUGGAGGAACACCAGUGGCGAAGGCGGCUUUCUGGGUCUGUAACUGACGCUGAGGCGCGAAAGCGUGGGGAGCAAACAGGAUUAGAUACCCUGGUAGUCCACGCCGUAAACGAUGAGUGCUAAGUGUUAGAGGGUUUCCGCCCUUUAGUGCUGAAGUUAACGCAUUAAGCACUCC
This 526-nucleotide ribosomal RNA is filed under the name uncultured bacterium. Its description in RNAcentral is "bacterial SSU rRNA". It matches the Rfam family "Bacterial small subunit ribosomal RNA", at positions 355 to 870 of the family's 1533-position model. The record is from RNAcentral.